Molecule: ribosomal RNA, 245 nt
Filed under: uncultured bacterium
Lineage: Bacteria
Description: partial 16S ribosomal RNA
Rfam family: Bacterial small subunit ribosomal RNA
Source: RNAcentral
UACGGAGGAUGCGAGCGUUAUCCGGAUUUAUUGGGUUUAAAGGGUGCGUAGGCGGAACAAUAAGUCAGUGGUGAAAACCUGCAGCUUAACUGUAGAAUUGCCAUUGAUACUGUUGGACUUGAGUUCGGUCAAGGUAGGCGGAAUGUGUAAUGUAGCGGUGAAAUGCUUAGAUAUUACACAGAACACCGAUUGCGAAGGCAGCUUACUGGGCCGCGACUGACGCUGAGGCACGAAAGCGUGGGGAG